This 478-nucleotide ribosomal RNA is filed under the name uncultured bacterium. RNAcentral's name for it is "partial 16S ribosomal RNA". It matches the Rfam family "Bacterial small subunit ribosomal RNA", at positions 28 to 507 of the family's 1533-position model. The record is from RNAcentral.
GAUGAACGCUGGCGGCGUGCUUAACACAUGCAAGUCGAACGAGAAAUGGAGACGGAAACCUUCGGGCGGAAGACUUUAUUUCGAGUGGCGGACGGGUGAGUAACGCGUGGGUAACCUGCCUCAUACAGGGGGAUAACAGUUGGAAACGACUGUUAAUACCGCAUAAGACCACAGCACCGCAUGGUGCGGGGGUAAAAACUCCGGUGGUAUGAGAUGGACCUGCGUUCGAUUAGCCAGUUGGCGGGGUAACGGCCCACCAAAGCGACGAUCGAUAGCCGAUCUGAGAGGAUGACCGGCCACAUUGGGACUGAGACACGGCCCAAACUCCUACGGGAGGCAGCAGUGGGGAAUAUUGCACAAUGGGGGAAACCCUGAUGCAGCGACGCCGCGUGAGUGAAGAAGUAUUUCGGUAUGUAAAGCUCUAUCAGCAGGGAAGAAAAUGACGGUACCUGAGGAAGAAGCCCCGGCUAACUACGUG